RNAcentral lists this long non-coding RNA (199 nucleotides) under Lotus japonicus. RNAcentral's name for it is "long non-coding RNA (LJAP_LNC001754)". The record is from RNAcentral. Lineage: Eukaryota; Viridiplantae; Streptophyta; Magnoliopsida; Fabales; Fabaceae.
AUGAGGUUUACCUUGUCAAGGAGACCUGCAAGCACAGAGGAAAGAGCUUCCUGAUUGUUGUUGAGUCUCUCAAUAGACUCCAACAAAUCAGCAGAAGCAAAAGGACCCGUAGGAGGCAUGGUAACAAUGAUGAAAGCACCAAAUUUGGUAAGAAAUCUCUUCCCCACCAAGGAACCCUAGCAGAGCUACUCUAGAACAG